UUGUCUAAAAUAAAUAAGGAGUCGGACCUGCCCAGUGAAUUUUUUAACGGCCGCGGUACUCUGACCGUGCAAAGGUAGCAUAAUCAUUUGCCUUAUAAUUGAAGGCUAGUAUGAAUGGUUUGACAAGAAUACAGCUGUCUCUUUAUGAUUUAAUAGAAUUUUAUUUUUAGGUGAAGAAGCCUAUAUUAAAUUAAAAGACAAGAAGACCCUAUCGAGCUUUAAAAAAAUCAAUAGAUAUAAUAAGUUAAUACAAUUAAAAAAUUAACUGUUGAAAAUUUUAGUUGGGGCGACCGAGGAACAAAAAAAGCUUCCUUUAUAUAUUAAAGACACACAAGUAUUGAUCCAAAGCAUUUUGAUUAAAGAAAUUAGUUACCGUAGGGAUAACAGCUAUUAUCUUUUUUAAGAGUUCUUAUCGAAAAAAAGGUUUGUGACCUCGAUGUUGGACCAGAAUAUCCAAAAGAUGCAGAAGUCUUUAAGGGUUGGUCUGUUCGACCAUUAAAAUUCUA
This 506-nucleotide ribosomal RNA is filed under the name Serratifusus lineatus. Its description in RNAcentral is "partial 16S ribosomal RNA". It matches the Rfam family "Bacterial large subunit ribosomal RNA", at positions 1823 to 2598 of the family's 2925-position model. Lineage: Eukaryota; Metazoa; Mollusca; Gastropoda; Neogastropoda; Buccinidae. The record is from RNAcentral.